AUGGAUUGACUUCCCAGGAUCCUCAGUUAUCAAAACAGUCAUCAUCAUGUAUUCUUUUUUCAUGCAUUUCCAAGGCGGCAAAUUAUAUGGGAAUACGAAAAUCGGCCAAGUGCUGUGGUGUUGGUUUAGAACCCCAUAUGGAUUGAAUCCGUCAGUGGCAAGUCCCAAUCUCACAUUUCGGGGAUCAGCAGCAAACUCGGGGAACGUUCGAUCGAACUCUUUCCAUGCCUCCCCAUCUGCAGGAUGCCGCAUCACAUCAUCGUCUACCCGUUUUUCCUUAUGCCAUUUCAUGUCUAUGGCAGUAUGCGUCGACAUAUACAAUCGCUGCAACCUACGUUUCAGGGGCAGAUAACGCAUGACUUUUUGU
This 367-nucleotide long non-coding RNA is filed under the name Prunus persica (peach). Its description in RNAcentral is "long non-coding RNA (PPER_LNC004548)". Lineage: Eukaryota; Viridiplantae; Streptophyta; Magnoliopsida; Rosales; Rosaceae. The record is from RNAcentral.